Molecule: ribosomal RNA, 1034 nt
Filed under: Micrococcus endophyticus
Lineage: Bacteria; Bacillati; Actinomycetota; Actinomycetes; Micrococcales; Micrococcaceae
Description: bacterial SSU rRNA
Rfam family: Bacterial small subunit ribosomal RNA
Source: RNAcentral
CGCUUACACAUGCAGUCGUACGAUGAAGCCCAGCUUGCUGGGUGGAUUAGUGGCGAACGGGUGAGUAACACGUGAGUAACCUGCCCUUAACUCUGGGAUAAGCCUGGGAAACUGGGUCUAAUACCGGAUAGGAGCGUCCACCGCAUGGUGGGUGUUGGAAAGAUUUAUCGGUUUUGGAUGGACUCGCGGCCUAUCAGCUUGUUGGUGAGGUAAUGGCUCACCAAGGCGACGACGGGUAGCCGGCCUGAGAGGGUGACCGGCCACACUGGGACUGAGACACGGCCCAGACUCCUACGGGAGGCAGCAGUGGGGAAUAUUGCACAAUGGGCGAAAGCCUGAUGCAGCGACGCCGCGUGAGGGAUGACGGCCUUCGGGUUGUAAACCUCUUUCAGUAGGGAAGAAGCGAAAGUGACGGUACCUGCAGAAGAAGCACCGGCUAACUACGUGCCAGCAGCCGCGGUAAUACGUAGGGUGCGAGCGUUAUCCGGAAUUAUUGGGCGUAAAGAGCUCGUAGGCGGUUUGUCGCGUCUGUCGUGAAAGUCCGGGGCUUAACCCCGGAUCUGCGGUGGGUACGGGCAGACUAGAGUGCAGUAGGGGAGACUGGAAUUCCUGGUGUAGCGGUGGAAUGCGCAGAUAUCAGGAGGAACACCGAUGGCGAAGGCAGGUCUCUGGGCUGUAACUGACGCUGAGGAGCGAAAGCAUGGGGAGCGAACAGGAUUAGAUACCCUGGUAGUCCAUGCCGUAAACGUUGGGCACUAGGUGUGGGGACCAUUCCACGGUUUCCGCGCCGCAGCUAACGCAUUAAGUGCCCCGCCUGGGGAGUACGGCCGCAAGGCUAAAACUCAAAGGAAUUGACGGGGGCCCGCACAAGCGGCGGAGCAUGCGGAUUAAAUUCGAUGCAACGCGAAGAACCUUACCAAGGCUUGACAUGUUCUCGAUCGCCGUAGAGAUACGGUUUCCCCUUUGGGGCGGGUUCACAGGUGGUGCAUGGUUGUCGUCAGCUCGUGUCGUGAGAAUGUUGGGUUAAGUCCCGC